AACGAACGCUGGCGGCAUGCCUAACACAUGCAAGUCGAACGAGACCUUCGGGUCUAGUGGCGCACGGGUGCGUAACGCGUGGGAACCUGCCCUUAGGUUCGGGAUAACUCCCCGAAAGGGGUGCUAAUACCGGAUAAUGUCUUCGGACCAAAGAUUUAUCGCCUUUGGAUGGGCCCGCGUUGGAUUAGCUAGUUGGUAGGGUAAAAGCCUACCAAGGCGACGAUCCAUAGCUGGUCUGAAAGGAUGAUCAGCCACACUGGGACUGAGAAACGGCGCAGAAUCCUACGGGAGGCAGCAGUGGGGAAUAUUGGAAAAUGGGCGAAAGCCUGAUCCAGCAAUGCCGCGUGAGUGAUGAAGGCCUUAGGGUUGUAAAGCUCUUUUACCCGGGAUGAUAAUGACAGUACCGGGAGAAUAAGCACCGGCUAACUCCGUG
Molecule: ribosomal RNA, 433 nt
Filed under: uncultured bacterium
Lineage: Bacteria
Description: partial 16S ribosomal RNA
Rfam family: Bacterial small subunit ribosomal RNA
Source: RNAcentral